RNAcentral lists this ribosomal RNA (253 nucleotides) under uncultured bacterium. RNAcentral describes it as "partial 16S ribosomal RNA". It matches the Rfam family "Bacterial small subunit ribosomal RNA", at positions 524 to 776 of the family's 1533-position model. The record is from RNAcentral.
UACGUAGGGGGCAAGCGUUGUCCGGAUUUAUUGGGCGUAAAGAGCGUGUAGGCGGUCAGGUAGGUCCGUUGUGAAAACUCGAGGCUCAACCUCGAGACGCCGAUGGAAACCAUCUGACUAGAGUCCGGAAGAGGAGAGUGGAAUUCCUGGUGUAGCGGUGAAAUGCGCAGAUAUCAGGAAGAACACCCGUGGCUAAGGCAGGUCUCUGGGCCACUACUGACGCUGAGAAGCGAAAGCACGGGGAGCGAACAGG